AGAAGGCCAAUGAGGAAAGAAGAUACUUUAAAAUCUGGCGGGGGCAGGGAGGAGGUUUUGUUUGUGCUCUUUUUAUUGUUCCCUCUCCGGACAGAGAGACCAGGAAGGGACAACAUCUCCUGAAAAUAAAACCUGAAAUGAUUCAUCUAUGAUUACAAAAAUUGAAGUUUGAUGAGAUCCUGUGGGAGCUGAAAGGAAACUGUGUCCAGGAAAAAGGGGACAGAUAAAUUACACCAUGCCAGAGGCCUGAGAGUAUGUUCAGAAUCCACAUCCCCUUUUUGCACGGGUCCCUGCUUUGCUCCGCUUCACUGUGUCUGCCUGGCGCAGUAAUACGUGGCGGUGUCCGCAGCUCCCAGGGAGGCCAGCUGCAGGGAGAACCGGUUCUUGGAGGAGUCAGGGGAGAUGGUGAUUCGGCUCUGGAAAGAUGAGCUGUAGUUUGUGUACCAGGAGGAACUGCUGUAAAAUCUCCGUCCCAGCCACUCCAGCCCUUUCCCGGGAGGCUGCCGGACCCAGUGCCAGCCAUGACCACUAGUGAUGGACUGACCCGAGACUGCACAGGUCACGGUGAGGGUCUCUCCGGGCUUCACCGCUCCCGGGCUGGACUGGACCAGCUGGAUUUGGGCAAGAACACCUGAAAAAGGAGGAAAUUUGUUUCAGGAAUUCUAAUGCUGAUCAGAUACUCCCCGGGGACUCCCCCUGCUCUGCUGAAGUCAAAGGACAUUUCUCCCUCCAGUACAAGCGAAGCAGAACUUUCCCUACCCCCUCCCACAGACACUCACAGGAAUGGGUGGCUAAGAGGAAUAAGAGGGUGAAAAAUGAGUCCAUGAUGGUCUGAAUUAAUGAACUGACUCCCCAGCAGCAGGGACUGGGCAGUUCAGUGUCUGGGGAGAGACUGAGGCUUCUAGGACCAGGAGUUUGUAUUUAAACAGGAACCCCCCUGGGUAGGGA
Molecule: long non-coding RNA, 948 nt
Organism: Caretta caretta (loggerhead turtle)
Lineage: Eukaryota; Metazoa; Chordata; Testudines; Cheloniidae
Source: RefSeq, a predicted model, not a curated record